CGAAAUGCGAUAAGUAAUGUGAAUUGCAGAAUUCAGUGAAUCAUCGAAUCUUUGAACGCACAUUGCGCCCGCCAGCAUUCUGGCGGGCAUGCCUGUUCGAGCGUCAUUUCAACCAUCAAGCCCCCGGGCUUGUGUUGGGGACCUGCGAAAGCUAUUUUGGCCCGCAGGCCCUGAAAUGCAGUGGCGGGCUCGCUAGUCACACCGAGCGUAGUAGCAAUUUUAUCUCGCUCAGGGCGUUGCUGCGGGUUCCCGGCCGUUAAACCCCCCUUUCUAAACCAAAGGUUGACCUCGGAUCAGGUAGGAAGACCCGCUGAACUUAAGC
This 322-nucleotide unclassified non-coding RNA is filed under the name plant metagenome. Its description in RNAcentral is "partial contains 5.8S ribosomal RNA, internal transcribed spacer 2, and large subunit ribosomal RNA". The stretch from base 1 to 106 matches the Rfam family "5.8S ribosomal RNA", at positions 49 to 154 of the family's 154-position model. The record is from RNAcentral.